This is a non-coding RNA of Camelina sativa (false flax), 1358 nucleotides long. The record is from RefSeq and is a predicted model, not a curated record. NCBI's taxonomy places the organism in Eukaryota, Viridiplantae, Streptophyta, Magnoliopsida, Brassicales, Brassicaceae.
CUUCUUCAUUCUUCACAAAUCUCUUUCGUCCAUCACUGUUAAACCCUAGAUCUUCUUCUUCUUUCUCAAAAUCUUUCAAUGGCGUCCGCAGAUGUUGAGUUCCGGUGCUUCGUUGGAGGUCUAGGCUGGGCCACCGAUGACAGAGCUCUUGAGACAGCCUUCUCUCAAUACGGCGACGUUGUUGAUUCCAAGGUCUGUUACACGCCGAAAUCGGACUCCGAGUGAUCAUCCUCGACGGAUCAAUUCCGAUCUUGUGUUUCUCUGUUACUUGAUUCGAUUACUCUGUUACUAUUCGUUCGUUCUUUGUUACUACUACUACUGUUACUUGUUUUUUCUCUAAUUGGUACGUUCAUCUUCCUGCUUCUAUGAGCCCGGAGAUCGAUCGGUUUUUUAAAUCUGUUUCUUCUGUAGAUCUCAUUUCUGUUUUUUUUUAUGAACUUUGUUGGAUUGUGUUGCUGAUUUUGAUUUUGUUUACUGUUGUGUUGAACUAAACAACGAUCGUGAGACCGGAAGAUCAAGGGGAUUCGGAUUCGUUACCUUCAAGGAUGAGAAAUCCAUGAAGGAUGCGAUCGAGGGAAUGAACGGACAAGAUCGAUGGUCGUAGCAUCACACCAGACCAAGAGAAUAAAUAGUGUCACUCUCGGAUCUCUUUAUAAAUUGGUGACACCGCCCUCAAAAUCCCCCAACCUUCGUUGUCUCUCUCUCUCUCUCUCAAAUCUCAAUGUCGCUCCGGUCAUGUCAAUCGCAGAAAAACGUAAAGUCGUCAGAAGUCCAAUACCACGAGGAAUACAUAAGAAAUGCGAGAGGUGUUGAAUUGUUCGCUUGUAGAUGGAUCCCUUCAUCUUCUUCUCCCAAAGCUCUCGUUUUCCUCUGCCAUGGUUACGGUAUGUAGUGUAGCGACUUCAUGAAAGGUAUUUAAGAAGACUAAUACCAAUUUAAAAACCUCAGCGGCGACGGUGGUGGUUACAACAGCGGAGGCGGUGGCGGAGGAUACGGUGGAGGAAGACGCGAGGGAGGAUACAGCGGCGGUGGUGGCGGAGGAUACGGUGGUGGUGAAGGAGGAUGUUAAGAGGAGGAUGGUAAUUCCUUUAAUUAGAUCGGGGAUUAUUCUGAAAACUCUCUUUAUCACUCUCUCUCUCUCUCUCUCGUUAUGCCGAUAGUUUCCGUUGAUCAUAAUCUUCAUCAAUCGGAUCAGCUCCUUCUUUUCUUAUUUUUUUCAAUGAUUGCUUCUGUUUCGUUGUGUUUGGUUCCUAUCGUCUCUUUCAGUUUGACUGAUAUGGCUGAAUUAUCGACAUAAACGGCUGACUGACUUAUGAAAUAUUUGUAAAUUAUAAUUAUUAUAACUCAAAAUUAAAAUA